CGUUUGGGUCGCCAAUCGAAACCGUCCCCUCUCCGAUCCACACUCCUCCACACUCGAGCUCACCUCCACCGGAAACCUAAUCGCCAGGAACUCCCACGACGGCGUCGUUUGGCAGUCGGACAACAAUCACCCGGGAACCGAUUUCCGGUUCUCUGAUACCGGGAAUCUGAUUUUGAUCGGAGACCACGGCUCUCCCGUUUGGCAGAGCUUUGAAAAUCCGACUGACACGUGGCUCCCGGGGAUGAAUGUCACCGGUCUAACGGCAAUGACUUCGUGGCGGACGCCAUUCGACCCUUCGCCGGGACUUUACUCCCUCAGGCUGAGCCCAAGCUUCAACGAGUUCCAGCUCGUUUUCAACGGAACCACACCCUACUGGUCCACCGGAAACUGGACCGGAGAAUCCUUCGUCGGCGUCCCGGAGAUGACCGUUCCGUACAUCUACCGGUUCCACUUCGUUAACCCGUACACCCCCGCUGCGUCCUUCUGGUAUAUCGUCACACCGUCGGACGCGUCGCCGGAGCCGCGGCUGACGCGGUU
This 537-nucleotide long non-coding RNA is filed under the name Eutrema salsugineum. RNAcentral's name for it is "long non-coding RNA (ESAL_LNC000801)". Lineage: Eukaryota; Viridiplantae; Streptophyta; Magnoliopsida; Brassicales; Brassicaceae. The record is from RNAcentral.